GGAACAAGCCAUGGUGGCGGCGACGGUGGCAGCGGCGUGGCUGCUCCUGUGGGCUGCGGCCUGCGCGCAGCAGGAGCAGGACUUCUACGACUUCAAGGCGGUCAACAUCCGGGGCAAACUGGUGUCGCUGGAGAAGUACCGCGGAUCGGUGUCCCUGGUGGUGAAUGUGGCCAGCGAGUGCGGCUUCACAGACCAGCACUACCGAGCCCUGCAGCAGCUGCAGCGGGACCUGGGUCCCCACCACUUCAACGUGCUCGCCUUCCCCUGCAACCAGUUUGGCCAACAGGAGCCUGACAGCAACAAGGAGAUUGAGAGCUUUGCCCGCCGCACCUACAGUGUCUCAUUCCCUAUGUUUAGCAAGAUUGCAGUCACCGGUACUGGUGCCCAUCCUGCCUUCAAGUACCUGGCCCGUAAGUCCUGGUCUCUUCAUCCCCUCACACCUCCCUCAGCUGGCUGAGGCCAUGGCUCCCUGGGCAGCAGAAGCCACGGGCUGGUUGGGUGACCUGGGGCCCCUUCCCCUUCCUGAUCAUCUCAGGUAGACUGAUGCUUUGUUCCAGCACUAAUCUUUGAGGAGAGUGGAGGCAGGUACAAGCUGAGGGGUAUUCCUGCCUAAGAAUAUCUCCAUACCUGCUGCCUCUCACUUGUCCCUCAGAAGUCACUCUUUUGGACUUUUCUGGGAUCCUGUUUUCACAUUCAGGGGCUCCUAGAAGGAGACAUUUAAGUCAGUGUGAACUAGAUGAGUUUAUGGACAUACGAUGGAGAAACCAAGGCAUAGACAGGGGAGGCCACGUGCUUGGAGAAAGCUGACCAAGAUAGUGGACAGGCAUCUUCACCCUGAGUCAGUGGCGGAGUCUGUAGGCCAUGGAGGGAGAC
This 873-nucleotide small RNA is filed under the name Pan troglodytes (chimpanzee). RNAcentral describes it as "processed transcript". The record is from RNAcentral. Lineage: Eukaryota; Metazoa; Chordata; Mammalia; Primates; Hominidae.